CUGAUUUUAUUUGUCCUGUUCUUGCGUGAUUCAAUGGAAACUGUAGGAGGUUUAGGGCAAGGGAAGGUCAGGGCGUUGAUAGAGAAGGCCACAAAUUCGACGGAGGCAGAGGUGGAACCCCGCCUCCUCAAGGCCAUCAAAUCGGUGGUCCGGUAUUCUGAUUCGGAGCUCCGACUGGCGGCACAAACCCUAAUGGAUCUCAUGAAAUGCGAC
RNAcentral lists this unclassified non-coding RNA (213 nucleotides) under Hevea brasiliensis (rubber tree). The record is from RNAcentral. Lineage: Eukaryota; Viridiplantae; Streptophyta; Magnoliopsida; Malpighiales; Euphorbiaceae.